RNAcentral lists this ribosomal RNA (428 nucleotides) under uncultured bacterium. RNAcentral's name for it is "bacterial SSU rRNA". It matches the Rfam family "Bacterial small subunit ribosomal RNA", at positions 355 to 775 of the family's 1533-position model. The record is from RNAcentral.
UAGGGAAUCUUCGGCAAUGGACGAAAGUCUGACCGAGCAACGCCGCGUGAGCGAAGAAGGCCUUCGGGUCGUAAAGCUCUGUUGUUAGAGAAGAACAUGGGUGAGAGUAACUGUUCACCCCUUGACGGUAUCUAACCAGAAAGCCACGGCUAACUACGUGCCAGCAGCCGCGGUAAUACGUAGGUGGCAAGCGUUGUCCGGAAUUAUUGGGCGUAAAGCGCGCGCAGGCGGUCUCUUAAGUCUGAUGUGAAAGCCCCCGGCUCAACCGGGGAGGGUCAUUGGAAACUGGGAGACUUGAGGACAGAAGAGGAGAGUGGAAUUCCAAGUGUAGCGGUGAAAUGCGUAGAUAUUUGGAGGAACACCAGUGGCGAAGGCGGCUCUCUGGUCUGUUACUGACGCUGAGGCGCGAAAGCGUGGGGAGCAAACAG